Molecule: long non-coding RNA, 1063 nt
Filed under: Gossypium barbadense (sea-island cotton)
Lineage: Eukaryota; Viridiplantae; Streptophyta; Magnoliopsida; Malvales; Malvaceae
Description: long non-coding RNA (GBAR_LNC016660)
Source: RNAcentral
AUUUCAAACAUUUUGUAAAGAAAAAAAAAGGAGGGGGCCUUAUAUUCUCUGGGCAAAGUCCAGAUACCGGCCAAAGGGCCGCCGUGUCUCCAUCGCACCUCCGCCGGUAGCCGGCGCCAUUGCCGCCAUAUGCGGCCGCCGGAGAGUUAAAAAAAGUUCCCUUCUUCGGCCGAUCUAAAAGCAGGUAUUUUUUUCCUUUCUUUUUUACUCUAUUUGUAUAUAUAUAUGUAUAUGCCGUGUAUAAAAAAACUUGUAAAUAGGUUAGUGUUUUCGAAAUAUAAAAGAAGGAAACCUUGGAUCUGCUUCUGCUUUCGCUUUUUCUGCUUGAAUCUAUCUCUUUUUCUUUGUAUUUCUAAGUGACGUUUUACAAAGGAAAAUCGGGGAAGCAGAACCCCUAAAACCGAUAUCCAAAUUCGGCUUUUAUACAUUUAUUUGCUAGUACUGUCGUUUCUUCUUAAUUGUUUGCAGGCACUCGAUGGCGCCAGUGGAGAGGCGGUGGUGGCAGAGGACGUGACAGAGGCGGUGGGUUGGUGGCAGCAGUCAAGUGGAGGCUGCAGUCAAGUGGGGCACUAGGGUUUCAGAGACUGAAACCCUAGUCUGACUCCUUGUUGGGUCUGGGGAAUUGGGCUUCUUGGGCCUUUUAUUUGUAAUGGGCCCGUAACAAAAAGCGUUUUCCAUUAUUUAGAUCCAAAGAAAUUGAAACCAAAUGCGUUAAGGAUCAAUUUUCUCGAAUAUAAACAUAAAAUUUUACUUGUUUGAAAGUCGAAACUUAUGCGUCGAGAUAAAUUAAUCUAAUUUGAAAUAGUAUAAAUGAAACACGAGGUUAAUAUGCGUACAAAGCAAUACUGAAUACGAUAGCAUAAAAGUAAUACAAGUAAUAAAAAUGAACGAAUAAAAGGGACAAUUUAAUAACAUGUAAAAUAGCAAGCAUAAGCAAAUAAAAUUAAAAUGUUCUUUUAAAAUAAAAAUAAAUAAAUAAAAGAUAUGAAUAAAAUUUAUAGAAAUAUAAAGUAUAUAUAUAGGUAUCAAAAUUAUGAAGUACAAAAUAUGUAUGUGGAUAUAU